RNAcentral lists this long non-coding RNA (519 nucleotides) under Brassica rapa (field mustard). RNAcentral describes it as "long non-coding RNA (BRAP_LNC004435)". The record is from RNAcentral. Lineage: Eukaryota; Viridiplantae; Streptophyta; Magnoliopsida; Brassicales; Brassicaceae.
CUCUAAAUCAAAAUCACUAUACACUAAAACAUUCAAGCGUUUAGGGUUUAGGGUUUUAGUGUUUUUUAUUUAGAGUUUAGGAUUUAUCCAAGGGUUUAGGGUUUACCCAAGGGUUUAGGGUUUACCCAAGGGUUUAGUGUUUAUCCACGGGUUUAGGGUUUAGGAUUUAGGGUUUAGCGAUUAGGAUUUAGGGUUUAGUGUUUUGUUGAGAACAUUAAAAAUAUUUUUUUUUUAAAUUUUUUUUCUGUAACUAUUAUUUUUUUUACUUUUUUAUUUUAAAAACAUAAUAUAAUUUGAGAAUAUUUUGUUUCAUUUUUUAAAAGAUAUCAAAUUUAAAAUAAUGAAAUCCUAUUGGUUGGUGAACCUAGAGGUUCACCCUAGGGGGUGAACCCAAGAAUGACUCAUAAAUUGGUAAAUUUUUAGAAGUGAUAAAUAAAUAAAAAGCAUAAAUGAGUUUUUUUCAUUAAAAUCUAUGAAAACUUUUAAAACAGUAUGAGAUAUUCUUUUAACAGAUAAAUC